UAAAAAAAAAAAAAAAAAAAUCUAGAAAUAUUUCAACAAUGACUUAGGAAUUGAACUAUCUGCAGCUUAGUUGCACUUCCGUUAAACCCCAGAAUUGCACAUUGCACAGCCAUCCAUCUCUAAACCAAAAAAAAAUUAGGUUUGAGGCAAGAUUAUUUUUUUAGAGGACUUCAACAUGGACCAAUACAUAGGUCAGCUCCAAUUCUCUCUGAUUCUGAAUUUAAACAGGAACUCUUUUCCCCCGGUAGCGAUCCAUGAACGAUCUAAUAAAAGGUUGUUGGAAGAACCAGCCAAGAAUGGGUAUCUUCUGAAGAAAGACUGCCAGUGUUGGCCAGAAGCCACUGAAGAGUACAACGAACCCAUAUGCUUCCAAAAUCAUGCCAAUAACUGGCCAUCCUACGACAACAAAGAAGAAGCCAGAACCAAAUGAAAUAGUUCCCUUAAAAUUUUGACGUUUCAUGAAGAACUGCAUGGUGGAUUUUGGCCCAAUGGUUAGACUCACUCCUGAGAUGAAGAGGAUAUUUCCCAUGGCAAGUAAUCCCUUGUCAAAGAAGAAAAUGAUUCCCAUGAAUGAGAAAAAUAUGCCAAAUCCCGUCAAUCCUAGCCCAAUCUUCUUGCGGUCAUUCAUUUCAAACGAAACCAUCUUGAUUUGAUUCAAAGUACUUGAUUACGUUCACUGAGACAAAAUCUGGAAGUAACGGAAGCUUGAAUUCUUCGAUUGAAAGCCUUCUAAUGACCUGCAAGAUGAAGAUUGAAUCGAAAAGAUUAAUUUAGCAGAAAAAAGAAACAGAAUAGAAACAAAGUGAGAGAUGUUGAAACAAAAGCUCUGAUUGGAUAGCAAGAAACACUUAGCCCUAGUUUCCUUCAUGUAAGUUUUCCAAGAAAUAUUUCUGAUCAACCAAACAGAACUGAAACCAUAGAGAGAUUGAAAGAGCAAGAACCUGCGAUGCGUGCUUGAGAGAGAAGAGAGAGACGCGAAGAGGAGAUGAGACGAG
This 995-nucleotide unclassified non-coding RNA is filed under the name Hevea brasiliensis (rubber tree). The record is from RNAcentral. Lineage: Eukaryota; Viridiplantae; Streptophyta; Magnoliopsida; Malpighiales; Euphorbiaceae.